GACGAACGCUGGCGGCGUGCCUAAUACAUGCAAGUUGAGCGAUGAAGAUUGGUGCUUGCACCACUUUGAAGAGCAGCGAACGGGUGAGUAACGCGUGGGUAAUCUGCCUUUGAGCGGGGGACAACAUUUGGAAACGAAUGCUAAUACCGCAUAACAACUUUAAACAUAAGUUUUAAGUUUGAAAGAUGCAAUUGCAUCACUCAAAGAUGAUCCCGCGUUGUAUUAGCUAGUUGGUGAGGUAAAGGCUCACCAAGGCGAUGAUACAUAGCCGACCUGAGAGGGUGAUCGGCCACAUUGGGACUGAGACACGGCCCAAACUCCUACGGGAGGCAGCAGUAGGGAAUCUUCGGCAAUGGACGAAAGUCUGACCGAGCAACGCCGCGUGAGUGAAGAAGGUUUUCGGAUCGUAAAACUCUGUUGGUAGAGAAGAACGUGGGUGAGAGUGGAAAGCUCAUAAAGUGACGGUAACUACCCAGAAAGGGACGGCUAACUACGUG
RNAcentral lists this ribosomal RNA (497 nucleotides) under uncultured bacterium. RNAcentral describes it as "partial 16S ribosomal RNA". It matches the Rfam family "Bacterial small subunit ribosomal RNA", at positions 28 to 507 of the family's 1533-position model. The record is from RNAcentral.